GGCUGGUCUUAUGGUAGUGUGUUAUCAGAACUUAGUAACAUUAGUGUCACUAAAGUUGGUAUACAACCCUCUACUGCUAAAUUUGACCGGCUUAAA
Molecule: Y RNA, 96 nt
Filed under: Carlito syrichta (Philippine tarsier)
Lineage: Eukaryota; Metazoa; Chordata; Mammalia; Primates; Tarsiidae
Description: Y RNA (ENSTSYG00000028967.1)
Rfam family: Y RNA
About the family: Y RNAs are components of the Ro ribonucleoprotein particle (Ro RNP), in association with Ro60 and La proteins. The Y RNAs and Ro60 and La proteins are well conserved, but the function of the Ro RNP is not known.
Source: Rfam by way of RNAcentral